Oncorhynchus tshawytscha (Chinook salmon) is the source of this 921-nucleotide long non-coding RNA. The record is from Ensembl. NCBI's taxonomy places the organism in Eukaryota, Metazoa, Chordata, Actinopteri, Salmoniformes, Salmonidae.
UGUGUGUGUGUGUGUGUGUGUGUGUGUGUGUGUGUGUGUGUGUGUGUGUGUGUGUGUGUGUGCCUGAGUGCUCAGGGGCAGGAGUGUUUUUGCCAACCCACUGAUAUCCAUCUUUAAUCAAGAGAGCUAGGAGACAAAUUUACAUGAAACCCUAUCAGAGAUAUGUACAUGCUACACAUGCCCUGGAAGAGAGGUGGUGCCUGAGGAGAGGUGGUGCCUGAGGAGAGGUGGUGCCUGAGGAGAGUUGGUGCCUGAGCAUAGGUGGUGCCUGAUGAGAGGUGGUACCUGAUGAGAGGUGGUGCCUGAGGAGAGGUGGUGCCUUAAGAGAGAGGUGGUGCCUGAGGAGAGUUGGUGCCUGAGCAUAGGUGGUGCCUGAUGAGAGGUGGUACCUGAUGAGAGGUGGUGCCUGAGGAGAGGUGGUGCCUUAAGAGAGGUGGUGCCUGAGGAGAGUUGGUGCCUGAGCAUAGGUGGUGCCUGAUGAGAGGUGGUACCUGAUGAGAGGUGGUGCCUGAGGAGAGUUGGUGCCUGAGCAUAGGUGGUUCCAGAGCAGAGGUGGUGCACGAGGAGAGGUGGUGCCUGGGGGGAGAUGGUGCCCGAGGAGAGGUGGUACCUGAGUGAAGGUGGUGCCUGAGGAGAGGUGGUGCCCGAGGAGAGGUGGUGUCUGGGAGGAGAUGGUGCCUGAGGAGAGGUGGUGCCUGAUGAGAGAUGGUGCCUGAGGAGAGGUGGUGCCUGAGGAGAGGUGGUGCCCGAGGAGAGGUGGUGUCUGGGAGGAGAUGGUGCCUGAGGAGAGGUGGUGCCUGAUGAGAGAUGGUGCCUGAGGAGAGGUGGUGCCUGAGGAGAGGUGGUGCCUGAGGAGAGGUGGUGCCUGAGGAGAGGUGGUGCCUGAGGAGAGGUGGUGCCUGAGGAGAGGUGGUGGUGCCU